GAUGAACGCUGGCGGCGUGCCUAAUACAUGCAAGUCGAGCGAACGGACGAGAAGCUUGCUUCUCUGAUGUUAGCGGCGGACGGGUGAGUAACACGUGGAUAACCUACCUAUAAGACUGGGAUAACUUCGGGAAACCGGAGCUAAUACCGGAUAAUAUUUUGAACCGCAUGGUUCAAAAGUGAAAGACGGUCUUGCUGUCACUUAUAGAUGGAUCCGCGCUGCAUUAGCUAGUUGUAA
This 237-nucleotide ribosomal RNA is filed under the name uncultured bacterium. RNAcentral describes it as "partial 16S ribosomal RNA". It matches the Rfam family "Bacterial small subunit ribosomal RNA", at positions 28 to 254 of the family's 1533-position model. The record is from RNAcentral.